UUUGAACAUGAUGUUGAAUUACGUUGUACUUUGAAUGUUGGUCAAGUGGGCUCUUAUUUUGUUUUUUGUUUUUUUGCGUAGAACCUGCUCUCGUUAACUUGGAACGCAUUUUUAUAUAAAUUAAGAGUGAUCUGUUAUGCAAAAUUGCUUGUUCGGAAGUCGAGUAAUUAAGCACAAGGUGGGUGAGGAAGAUUCCAGAAGCAUGGAAUCUUGCUUUCGUCCGUGGUUCUUGAAACAGUAGCUAGCUUGAUUUGACAAUGUCCGGGGGAUCCAACUUUAAUUUUAACUGUUUCCGCCGCCAUUGUGACUGGAGCUUUUCUCAGGAACUGGGAAUAGCUGAGGUUGGAAAUAAUUCAACAGAAACAUCCAAAUAAGCAGUACAAACUUUUAUUGGCCCAAACAGAACAAUCUGGAAGAGACAAAACUUUUAGCUUCUUAAAAUUAUUGAUGGGCCGUCUAAAAAAAAUGGCUGAUGUAACUUACGAGAAAGAAGGCCAAAACUUGUCACAAACACUAGCAAGUCCUUUAUUAGAUUUCUUCAGCCAAAUUAUUUCUCUUAAGUAUAGGAUUGUCACUGGGGCAAGCUUGAAAACCAAAACAAAUUUCUCUAAUUAAGACAUGUUCUUGCAUGGGUCAGCGAAGGAUCAAUUCUGCAUUUGUUGUCCCUUUAAGCUAUUACGCUGGUUGGCUUGUGGACCAGGUAGCUGUAUGGUAUGGUACCAUAGCUUGAUUUUAGGUGGAGCUAGUUAACUUGUGAUAUUUGACAUGUAUUAAAGCAUGUUUGAAUACCACACAAAACUGGUUUUGAGGUGAUGGUUCGGAUCCCACCUACAUGGAAACCAAAGAUCGCCCUGUGGAAUUUCAAAUAGCUCUUGAUCUUAUCAAGGCAGUCUUUUAUACCGGUUAAAAUCUGUUAGAUCAAAUUAAAAUACUACAAGCUUUUGAAUACAAUUACGAGACGAACCUUUUAAGUCGUUUGGGGUCGACUGCAAACAUGAACAGAAUUUUGAUUGAGGAUCAAGUCAGUCGAAUUCGGAAGGUCCGGGAGUGUUACAAGAUGGAAGGAUUUAAAAAAUCAUUAACGCGUCGAUGGCCACCAGUACACCUGUUAUCUCUACCCAGCUCCUACUCGAUAACUACUGGGAAUAUGUACUGAGAGUAAAAGGAAAGAUUAAAAAAAAAAAGAAUCCUCGGAGAACUAAUUUAAUUGAUUCAUGUGAAAUCAGUAUGUCUUUUCAGAAGACUCUUGCCAGAAUUUCUACAGGAAAAUACCAAACGAUGAAUUUAUGUAUCACAUUAAUAGUAAUAGGAGAUCUGUAAGGUUUCUGUUUGAGAUAAUAUACCGAAAAAUGUCGAAUUUCCUCACUUUA
This 1370-nucleotide long non-coding RNA is filed under the name Daphnia magna. RNAcentral's name for it is "uncharacterized LOC116935260, transcript variant X5". Lineage: Eukaryota; Metazoa; Arthropoda; Branchiopoda; Diplostraca; Daphniidae. The record is from RNAcentral.